UAAGACGAACCGUGCGAACGUUAUUCGGAAUCACUGGGCUUAAAGAGCGCGUAGGCGGCGUCGUAAGUUGGAGGUGAAAUCCCAUCGGCUCAACCGUGGAACUGCCCCCAAUACUGCGAUGCUUGAGAGAGGUAGGGGCAUGUGGAACUUCCAGUGGAGCGGUGAAAUGUGUUGAGAUUGGAAGGAACGCCAGUGGCGAAAGCGGCAUGCUGGAUCUCUACUGACGCUGAGGCGCGAAAGCUAGGGGAGCGAACGGGAUUAGAUACCCCGGUAGUCCUAGCCUUAAACGAUGGGUACUGGGUAGGAAGCGUUCCGAUGGCGCCUCCUGCCGUAGCGAAAGUGUUAAGUACCCCGCCUGGGGAGUAUGGUCGCAAGGCUG
RNAcentral lists this ribosomal RNA (379 nucleotides) under uncultured bacterium. RNAcentral's name for it is "bacterial SSU rRNA". It matches the Rfam family "Bacterial small subunit ribosomal RNA", at positions 521 to 896 of the family's 1533-position model. The record is from RNAcentral.